CCUACCUUCAGGUUAUCUACAGAACAGCAAGAGGCACUGUCCCUCCCUACCUUCAGGUUAUCUACAGAACAGCAACUGUCCCUCCCUACCUUCAGGUUACCUACAGAACAGCAAGAGGCAAUGUCCCUCCCUACCUUCAGGUUAUCUACAGAACAGCAACUGUCCCUCCCUACCUCCAGGUUAUCUACAGAACAGCAACUGUCCCUCCCUACCUUCAGGUUAUCUACAGAACACCAAGAGGACCUGCCCCUCCCUACCUUCAGGUUAUCUACGGAACAGCAACUGUCCCUCCCUACCUUCAGGUUAUCUACGGAACAGCAAGAGGACCUGCCCCUCCCUACCUUCAGGUUAUCUACGGAACUGCCCCUCCCUACCUUCAGGUUACCUACAGAACAGCAAGAGAAACUGCCCCUCCCUACCUUCAGGCGAUGCCACCUCAUGUCUCUUUUCCCUCCCACCCCUACAGAAGGGCUGGUCCCGCUCAGCCAGUCAUGUCAGUCUAAUCUCUUCUCUGUCCACCCCAUUGGUGGAACCAGCUGGUCUUCCUACAGUGCCGUCGGAAAGUAUUCAGACCCCUUGACUUAUUCCACAUUUUGUUACGUAACAGCCCUAUUCUGAAAUGUAUUAAAUUAUUUUUUCCCCUCAUCAAUCUAUUCACAAUACCCCAUAAUGACGAAGCAAAAACAAGGUUAUAGCAUCAGAGCUUUUGAGAAGCCUAGUUACCGUGACUAAACGGUAACGUGGAGCACAUCAACACAGUCGUGAAAACAACCAGGCCCUCUAUUCCCCCUCAGGAGGCUGAAAAGAUUUGUCACGGUCCCCAGAUCUUUAAAAAGUUCUACAGCUGCACCAUCGAGAGCAUGGUUGCUCUGGUUGCUCUGCAUCUGACCGCGAUGUGCUAUAGAGGGUAGUGCGUACGGCCCAGUACAUCACUGGGGUUGAGCUCCCUGACAUCCAGGACAUCAGGCCCUAAAAGUUGUCUUAGACUCCAGCCAUCCAAGACACAGACUCUUCUCUCUGCUACAGCAUGGGACCAAAAAAGCUCCUUCACAGUUUAACAGCUUCUACCACCAAGCCAUAUGACGGCUACCAGGACUAUUUACAAAUGGCUAUCAGGACUAUUUACAAAUGGCUAUCAGGACUAUUUACAAAUGGCUAUCAGGACUAUUUACAAAUGGCUACCAGGACUAUUUACAAAUGGCUACCAGGACUAUUUACAAAUGGCUAUCAGGACUAUUUACAAAUGGCUAUCAGGACUAUUUACAAAUGGCUACCAGGACUAUUUACAAAUGGCUACCAGGACUAUUUACAAAUGGCUAUCAGGACUAUUUACAAAUGGCUACCAGGACUAUUUACAAAUGGCUACCAGGACUAUUUACAAAUGGCUAUCAGGACUAUUUACAAAUGGCUACCAGGACUAUUUACAAAUGGCUACCAGGACUAUUUACAAAUGGCUACCAGGACUAUUAAUAUUGACCCCCUUAUUUUAUUAUUAUGUAUUAUUACUUUUUACACUGUACAGGCGAAACGGACACACACACACACACACACACACACACACACACACACACACACACACACACACACACACACACACCAUAUUGAUGCCACACACACCAAGACACACACACACACACACACACACACACACACACACACACACACACACCAUAUUGAUGCCACACACACUAAGACACACACACACACACACACACACACACACCAUAUUGAUGCCACACACACUAAGACACACACACACACACACACACACACACACACACACACACACACACACACACACACACACACACACACACACACACACACCAUAUUGAUGCCACACACACUAAGACACACACACACACACACACACACACACACACACACACACACACACACACACACACACCAUAUUGAUGCCACACACACUAAGACACACACACACACACACACACACACACACACACACACACCAUAUUGAUGCCACACACACUAAGACACACACACACACACACACACACACACACACACACACACACACACACACACACACACAUAUUGAUGCCACACACACAAAGACACACACACACACACACACACACACACACACACACACACAUAUUGAUGCCACACACACUAAGACACACACACACACACACACACACCAUAUUGAUGCCACACACACUAAGACACACACACACACACACACACACACACCAUAUUGAUGCCACACACACUAAGACACACACACACACACCACUGCACAUGGACUCGGUAGUGGUAUUGUUUUUGUUAUUUUCUUGUAUUUUUUUCCAUUUAGUUUAUUUAGCAAAUGUUUCUUACUUACUUUUUAUAACUCUUAACACUCUGCGUUGUUGGAUAAGGGCUCGUAAGUAAGCAUUUCAUGGUAAACCUGUUGUAUUCCAGCAUGUGUGACAAAUACAAUAAUAACAAAUAACGAAUUUCAUUUCAUUUAGUUGACACAGUGAAAAGAAGGAAGUCUGCGCAGAGUAAAAAUACACCAACACAUGCAUCCUUUUUGCAACAAGGUACUAAGGUAAUACUGCAAAAGAAAUGUGGCAAAGCCCUUUUUGUCCUGAAUACAGAGUGUCCUGAAUACAGAGUGUCCUGAAUACAGAGUGUCCUGAAUACAGAGUGUCCUGAAUACAGAGUGUCCUGAAUACAGAGUGUCCUGAAUACAGUGUCCUGAAUACAGAGUGUCCUGAAUACAGAGUGUCCUGAAUACAGAGUGUCCUGAAUACAGAGUGUCCUGAAUACAGAGUGUCCUGAAUACAGAGUGUCCUGAAUACAGAGUGACCUGAAUACAGAGUGUCCUGAAUACAGAGUGUCCUGAAUACAGAGUGUCCUGAAUACAGAGUGUCCUGUAUGGGACUUUAAAUGUUUAAUGUUCUUGAGAGUUUAAUUUUUUAUUUAUUUUUAUACUUAAAUCGAUUUUAAAAUCUAUGGCUAGACUUGAAAAUGGCUGUCUAGUAAUGAUCAACAAUCAACUUGACAGAGCUUGAAGAAUUUAAGAAAGUGUAAAUAUUGUACAAAUAUUGUACAAUCCAGGUGUGGAAAGCUCUUAGAGACUUACCCAGAAAGACUCCGAGCUGUAAUCGCUACCAAAGGUGAUUCUAACAUGUAUUGACUCAGGGGAGUGAAUACUUAAGUAAGAUAUUUGUGUAUUUGAUCGAUUUGCUAAAUAAAAAAUAAAAAACACUAUGUCAUUGUGGGUUACUGUCUGUAGAUGGG
Molecule: long non-coding RNA, 3252 nt
Organism: Oncorhynchus tshawytscha (Chinook salmon)
Lineage: Eukaryota; Metazoa; Chordata; Actinopteri; Salmoniformes; Salmonidae
Source: Ensembl